Molecule: long non-coding RNA, 5816 nt
Filed under: Sus scrofa (pig)
Lineage: Eukaryota; Metazoa; Chordata; Mammalia; Artiodactyla; Suidae
Description: lncRNA (ENSSSCG00000051728.1)
Source: RNAcentral
AUUCCACCUUUAACUAUUAAGAGUGCCCACAUUUUCUUUUCCCCUGGGUAAUAUUGCAAGUCCUCAUGGGGGAGCUCCUUCUCCCUGCAAAAGGAAGCCAAAGGCCUAUUUGAACAAGAGCCCAGUUUCUCCCCUACCAACCAUCACUGUCACAAACUGACCAACCCGGCAGUGCUGCCAGCCAUGAGUGGACAGGUUGACUGACAGCAAGCCCAGAUCUGCCGCUCACACACAUCUAGGCAGGCUGGGGAUGGAAAAGAGGUGUGCUGGGCCUGUCUGGCACUGACAGCUUCUGCCACACCAACAUUUCAAUCAGCACCAUGUUACGCCAACCCUUGUGUCACUCAAAAAUAGUUCAGCAUCAGCUCCAGGGGUGUCUUCUAGGGAUCCCAUGGAAUCCCUGAGCUGCUGCAUUGAGAGGGGUGACCAGGUCCAUCACAGCAUCUGCCAUACCUCCUUCUCUUGCCAGAUAAUUAGGACACAGUCCAGUUGGGUGACUUUAUCCUGCCUGAGGAAGUGACAACUAAUACAGGGCUGGCAGAAGAGAGCAUUCUGUGGUUCAUCAUGACUAUCCAAAUCAGCGAAAGCUGUCUGGAGCAUCCAAGAAAAAUUGAGUUUUGUGUAUUCUUUUUUGGGGGAGGUAGAAUAGCAAGGCUAGGUGUGCUUUGAAAUGCCAAGCUAACUACAUGAGCACUUAGGUACACUUAUUCAUACAGAUAAACUAACUUGCACAAGCACCUAGAUACAAACCUGCCUGUUUAUAUAUAAGCUAAUUUAUGCACAGACCAUAGGCAUAUGUGCACGUAAAAGCAUUCAUGCUAAUGUGCAUGCUUGUAAACACACGUAUGCAAACUUGCAUUCAGAUGCACACUCAGAAAACACAGAUGCAUAAAUGCAUUUGCUGCAUAUGUGGGUGCACACAAACACGUGUACAAUGCGUACAGAUUGAUAAAUUCAUAAAUGCAGGCAAAUGCUGAUGCAAAUAUGUCAAAGGACACACACACACUUGCACAUACCCACACACGCAGUUAUUUCAAGGAUGAAUUCAAAGAGAAAGGGAGAAAGGAUGAAGAACAUUUAUGUAUUGGAGUUUCUACCUGUCAUCACUCAAAUCACUUUCAAGUGUGUAAAACAGAAGAGGGGAAAAAAAAUCAAUUCUUGAUAGGAGAGGUUCAAGGAGCUGUGAAAUCAAUUAUAUUUUAUUUUCGAAUAUCAUUCAGAGAAGUUUACACUCUUUCAGAAAAGUCUGGUCUCGCCAGGGGGCAAAGAACCAGCUGGAAAUGGUAAUGUGAAAGGCAUUGCAAAGUUCAAGGCAAAGGCCAGUGCUGAGGUCAGAAAUGACACUUUCAUCUUCUCUGGCAGGAGAAGGAGGUUGGGAGGGUUUCAAGUGCUCUGAUUCAGAUAAUGGCCACAAGGGCUAUCUGAAGUGACACUGGUCACCUCAUUGAUUGCCAAGUUCAUAUGAAAAAAUAAAUGUCUGUGAGAUCUGAAGGAAACCUUGGAAAACUCUCUGCCCCCACUUAUUUAUUGACUUAUUUAUUGGCUUUUUUAAAUACAAAGAGACAAAGAGGCUGGAAGAAGAGGCGUGGUUUGCACAGCAUCAUCCAGGAAAAGGGUGCAGAGUCUGGGACUGAGCCCAGCCAGCUGGUUUCCCAACACCAAACUUCCUGCUUCUCCCAUUAGACAUCUGCCUUCAGAACACCCUUCCUACCAGGCAGAACUUUGACGUCUCAAAGACCUUUAUAAGCAAGCAACUCAUUAACUCAUGUAGUGUUGGGGACAUUUAAUUGCAGACACCAGGCUGAGGGCUGGUGGCUGGCCAGAGGUAUCAGUAGGGCCAGACCCAAGUGGCCUGUGCCUAAGAGUAGCACAGCCCAGUCAGUUUUUUUGUUUGUUUGUUUGUUUGUUUUUUGUCUUUUUGCCAUUUCUUGGGCCGCUCCCACGGCAUAUGGAGGUUCCCAGGCUAGGGGUCUAAUCGGAGCUGUAGCCCCCGGCCUACGCCAGAGGCACAGCAACGCAGGAUCCAAGCCGCGUCUGUGACCUACACCACAGCUCAUGGCAACACCGGAUCAUUAACCCACUGAGCAAGGGCAGGGAUCGAACCCGCAACCUCAUGGUUCCUAGUCGGAUUCGUUAACCACUGCGCCAUGACAGGAACUCCCCAGUCAGUUUUGAUAUGAAUACCUCUCUGCCAUUGGGAUGGUUUUUAUUCCUAAUAUAUGCUAAAUGGGCCUUGAUGACCAGGGCUGUAUUCCCAAAAACAUAGUGAGGUAGCAUCGUGAAAAAAUUAAAUUAAAUUAAAUUAAAAAGCCCAUCAUCACACUUUGUAAUGCAGAAACCUUAAUAAGCAAAUCAGCUCAGCUAAAUAUAAAAGGAUUGGGGCUGGGGGAUGGGGGGGCAUGGCAGAGGUGACAUUCACAAAGUCAGAUCUUACCAUGAUAAGUUUCUGUUUUCUCCUUGAAGAACAAUAAAAAUGGAGAACAAAAAGCUACAUCUGGGUUGCCGAGGGUGGGGUGAAAUUGGUCAAAAUAUAUGAAAACACCUUGUAAAUGUAUUGGACAAAUGUCAGGUAUGUUAUUGCCUAUACUUUUUAUAAAGGAAAACAUUAUCCCAGAGCAUUUUUUUCCUUCCAUUACCCCCCACUGGGUAAUGGACUGAGACCAACCUUGCCGUCCACUGAUUUUUUAAAGACUGGCCAAGUGAGCUGACCUGAGUGACCAUCUCUCAGAACCAUGAUUUCAGGCAUUUUCUACACUCCUGCUGGGACACAAGAAGGGACCUUACUCAGUGCCAUGUAACUGUAGGUUUUCUCAUAAAAGAAUUUUACAGAAUGCUACAAAUGUGAUUUCCCACUUGUAGAUUCACAAAACACAGAAGCAUCAUCGAAAGCAUCUUCAGGCUUCUGAGAGGUCUUUUGGGAAACAAACCUGCUCAACAUGUUUCUAAAAUGUUUGUAAAUGUUUUCGUCUUGUGCCAUCCCCACCUCCCUGACAAACACCUUUUUUCUUUUUCUUUUUUUUUUUUAAUGUUGUAUACCUAUUAAUAUCCUAAAAAGGGAUUUUCCACAGAACACAAUUUGGGGAAGUGCUCAUCUGGUUCAGUGGCCUCAUUUUACACAGGAAACAUUUGCUAAGGAAAAUAAGUUGGCCACGAUCACGCAGCAAAUUGAGGAUAGAGCUACAAUUCCUGACGUUCUUACUCUUCUCAGAAUCCAUUUUAGGCACAGUUUAGUACCUGGCUAUCCUCUGUCUUACUGUGUUAUCCUUAUUUAUAAACAUGUGCAUAUUUUAGAAUGAAAUAUAUGUAAAGUCACUCCCCAUAGUUGCGGAAACAUUUCAAUCCCUCAAUAAACGUGAACUCUGAAUAUGUCUAUAUGUGUGGCUUUCCCAACUAGAUCAUGAGCUCCUCAGAGGGGCCAUGUCUCCUACACUUCUUUGUAUCCCCCUGGCUCAUGCAGUCCUUCUAGACACACCCGAGGCACUCCUUAACUGCUUUCUCAUCUACUGAUUGAAAAUCAGAGGCAGCUCCAGUUUUAUGCCCAUUGGAGGAAAGGAGAAAGCCUGACAUUAAAGCAAUAAAAUGAACCAUUUCCCCUACAGAGUUAGUCUAACAUUAAUAAAAGCUUCAUGUUGCACUAUUAUCCUCUCCUCUUAUUAUUUUUGUGUAUUUCAUGCUGGAUAUAAAUGUCAGAACACUUUAUCUGUCUGCAUUGCCAUGGAUUUAUUGCCACUGAAGGAACACAUGCAGUGACUUCUGACAAGGGGAGCCUUGUCUUCUGUGGCCUUCCCGCUCCUGCCCUGUCCAAGGUCCCUCAGUGAUGGCAGAGCUGUAGAAACUGGGCAGGGAGCACUGUGUCUGCUGUCUCAAGACAGGGUUCAAAACCCACUUUUCCUGUUUUCCAAUUCUGAGGUUUGGGGCACCUCACUUUUACUCUCUGGACUUCCCUAUUGGAAGCAGGGAUGGUGGUUUUAAAGCAUUUGUUUCCCCCCACCACACCUAACACUCCUUAAAAGAACCAUGGUUGUAUUCAGAUAGCUGUCCAUCCUUCUUAGGAUCUGAUGACUCAUGGGAGGUUAUUCUUACCCCAGAAUCAGGGCUCCAUCCAAGCCAGUUAGGGUUUUCCCACUCUCCACUGGGUCUGGCUGUGGUACAAAAUGGUUUCAGGAGUUUCCUGGUAGCUCAGCAGGUUAAGGAUCUGGAGUUGUCACUGCUGUGGCUCUGGGUAAUUUUGUGGCAUGGACUUGACCACUAGCCCAGGAACUUUCACAUGCUGCAGAUGCAGCCAAAAAAAAUUUAAAAAGUGCAGUUGUUUCAACUCAUUCCCGUAGAUAACAGAACCCGAGAUAAAGAUAUGGGCUCAAGCAGUUGGGACACAAUCCUAGGAAUCACUGUGAAGGAGUGAGGGUGUGAGAUGGGGAAGCAUGGAAAGUCAUCAAGGGGAAAUUCGCGGGUCAGUGUCCUCUGUGUGCCUCUGGGAGUUACUGCUGCUGCAGACUUUCUAUAGGACUCAGAAUUUACCCCAAAGGAAUGUGAUGGCCAGGAGUUUAGUUCUUAUUUCUCACUUACUUAAGGUCGCUCUUCAGGACUCUCUAGCAUUUCCAGCCUGGCCCAUGCAGAGGCUGAGCAUACUCCAGAGAUGGCCUUCAGGCUCAGAGAUGCAGCUUCCUGAGGAACAGAUCAAGAUAUAUGGGAUUUGCCCAAUAGCUUGCAGGUGAUCUGGGCACAGGCUGAGGGAACAGAGUGGAGCACUUACGGUGUCUGCUACUGAUGAGCAUGAGAUAGAGAUCUGGACAUUAAAACUUGAGGGAUUUCUGCUGGGUGACUCUUGUCAAGGUUUCCUUGUUCUUAAGAAGAAAACAGUAGAAGAAAAAUCGUUUCCUCUGAAUGUUGUCAUUGUCUGAAUAGGACAUUGAAAUUGUUGUAUCCAUAUCAGGGACAGGAGAAGUAGCCUUAGGAUGCAGGCAGUGCUGAGGACAGCAGAGUGGGAGGUCAAAAGCAACCCACGUCUUUGAUGAAGUUAUUGAGAUACUGACAUAUCCUGGCUGGUGCCUGACACCCUAGUGCUGGGUUUAUCAUAUGAGAAAUAAUAAACAGUAUCAUUGUUUAAGACAUUAAUCCAUUGUUGGAUUCAGGCUUUUCUAUUACUGGUUAAUGAGACACUGGAUAUGCUGGUUCCCUGAAAUGUAAAAUUGUAAUGCUGCUUAACACUCUUGCUACCUGAAAGUGUGGUCUGAGAUUUGGAAGCAUCACUGGGGAUCAGAAUUUCAGGUCCCACUCAGACUGUUGAAUCAGGAUUUGCAUUCAACCAGGUCCCCAGGUAACCCAUGUGUAUAUUAAAGUCUUAGGAGCCCUGCCUUGCAGAGCUGUGACUGCUAAAAGUGCUAGUGGACAGGGAUUACACUUGCCAUGUUGAAUUUGGUUAUUGUUUUUUAUUGACACCUUCAUAGCUCCUUCUAAUCAUUUUAUUCAUCAUUCCUUAUUUAAAAAUGAGAUUAUAUCAACCUAUGCAAAUGUAUACAAAUAUGAAUUUCAUUGCUGCGUAAUUAGUCUGGAAGGUAAUUUUAUUUUUUUUCUGUAGAAGUUAGUUUACCUAAAUAUUAAUGAGCAAUCAGAAUUCCAUUCUGAAAACAGAAGACAUUGUGAGCUGAGGGUGAGCAGAGGGAAGUGAGGAAUAAGAGGAUAACACAGGUAAACAUGGUUCUAUAUUAGGAUUACUUUGUGGGUUUGUAAUUUUCUAAGUCUGACAUCUGGCAAUUCGAAUGAAAGUAAACCAACUAGCAGCAGGCUGACCUUCGUAAACAAAUGAAUCAUCUACU